GAUGAACGCUGGCGGCGUGCCUAAUACAUGCAAGUCGAGCGAACAGACGAGGAGCUUGCUCCUCUGACGUUAGCGGCGGACGGGUGAGUAACACGUGGAUAACCUACCUAUAAGACUGGGAUAACUUCGGGAAGCCGGAGCUAAUACCGGAUAAUAUAUUGAACCGCAUGGUUCAAUAGUGAAAGACGGUUUUGCUGUCACUUAUAGAUGGAUCCGCGCCGCAUUAGCUAGUUGGUAAGGUAACGGCUUACCAAGGCAACGAUGCGUAGCCGACCUGAGAGGGUGAUCGGCCACACUGGAACUGAGACACGGUCCAGACUCCUACGGGAGGCAGCAGUAGGGAAUCUUCCGCAAUGGGCGAAAGCUUGACGGAGCAACGCCGCGUGAGUGAUGAAGGUCUUCGGAUCGUAAAACUCUGUUAUUAGGGAAGAACAAAUGUGUAAGUAACUAUGCACGUCUUGACGGUACCUAAUCAGAAAGCCACGGCUAACUACGUG
RNAcentral lists this ribosomal RNA (497 nucleotides) under uncultured bacterium. Its description in RNAcentral is "partial 16S ribosomal RNA". It matches the Rfam family "Bacterial small subunit ribosomal RNA", at positions 28 to 507 of the family's 1533-position model. The record is from RNAcentral.